Molecule: ribosomal RNA, 702 nt
Filed under: Staphylococcus aureus
Lineage: Bacteria; Bacillati; Bacillota; Bacilli; Caryophanales; Staphylococcaceae
Description: bacterial SSU rRNA
Rfam family: Bacterial small subunit ribosomal RNA
Source: RNAcentral
GAUAACCUACCUAUAAGACUGGGAUAACUUCGGGAAACCGGAGCUAAUACCGGAUAAUAUUUUGAACCGCAUGGUUCAAAAGUGAAAGACGGUCUUGCUGUCACUUAUAGAUGGAUCCGCGCUGCAUUAGCUAGUUGGUAAGGUAACGGCUUACCAAGGCAACGAUGCAUAGCCGACCUGAGAGGGUGAUCGGCCACACUGGAACUGAGACACGGUCCAGACUCCUACGGGAGGCAGCAGUAGGGAAUCUUCCGCAAUGGGCGAAAGCCUGACGGAGCAACGCCGCGUGAGUGAUGAAGGUCUUCGGAUCGUAAAACUCUGUUAUUAGGGAAGAACAUAUGUGUAAGUAACUGUGCACAUCUUGACGGUACCUAAUCAGAAAGCCACGGCUAACUACGUGCCAGCAGCCGCGGUAAUACGUAGGUGGCAAGCGUUAUCCGGAAUUAUUGGGCGUAAAGCGCGCGUAGGCGGUUUUUUAAGUCUGAUGUGAAAGCCCACGGCUCAACCGUGGAGGGUCAUUGGAAACUGGAAAACUUGAGUGCAGAAGAGGAAAGUGGAAUUCCAUGUGUAGCGGUGAAAUGCGCAGAGAUAUGGAGGAACACCAGUGGCGAAGGCGACUUUCUGGUCUGUAACUGACGCUGAUGUGCGAAAGCGUGGGGAUCAAACAGGAUUAGAUACCCUGGUAGUCCACGCCGUAAACGA